AGAACGAACGCUGGCGGCAGGCUUAACACAUGCAAGUCGAACGGUUGUAGCAAUACAGCAGUGGCGCACGGGUGAGUAACGCGUGGGAACAUCCCUUUCAGUUCGGAAUAACAGCGGGAAACUGCUGCUAAUACCGAAUAUUCUCUUCGGAGGAAAGAUUUAUCGCUGAAAGAUUGGCCCGCGUCAGAUUAGCUAGUUGGUGAGGUAAUGGCUCACCAAGGCUCCGAUCUGUAGCUGGUCUGAGAGGACGACCAGCCACACUGGAACUGAGACACGGUCCAGACUCCUACGGGAGGCAGCAGUGGGGAAUAUUGGACAAUGGGCGAAAGCCUGAUCCAGCCAUGCCGCGUGAAUGAUGAAGGCCUUAGGGUUGUAAAGUUCUUUUGCCAGGGAAGAUAAUGACGGUACCUGGAGAAUAAGCACCGGCUAACUUCGUGCCAGCAGCCGC
Molecule: ribosomal RNA, 448 nt
Filed under: uncultured bacterium
Lineage: Bacteria
Description: SSU rRNA
Rfam family: Bacterial small subunit ribosomal RNA
Source: RNAcentral